GUCAUCUAUUCGAUAUUGUGCCGCACACAGUCCUAAAACCACCCCAAACUCUCUCAUUCAUCAACCAGCAAAUGUCAUCGGGGAAUUCGAAGGUGAACCAUUCUUUCGUGCGAAAGGUACAACUCCAUCAAAUAAACCUGCAGUCGUAUGAGUGAACAAAAAACAUUCUUUAGCCCUGCAGUCGUAGGGAUGGCAAUAUAUUCUACACCAUCGAAUACUUGAUCUGCAACAUAAUCAAAA
This 240-nucleotide long non-coding RNA is filed under the name Elaeis guineensis (African oil palm). Its description in RNAcentral is "long non-coding RNA (EGUI_LNC006474)". Lineage: Eukaryota; Viridiplantae; Streptophyta; Magnoliopsida; Arecales; Arecaceae. The record is from RNAcentral.